GAGGAGUCUAAUAUGGCUCCUCCUAGACUCCCUGUCACAGAAACACCGCUUUUGACAUAUCAUCGUCGUCCGCACCGAGCAUCAGGCCCAGCUGAUUCACGUCCUGCACCUCACCCUGCUCUUACUGCGGACUUGUCUCUUUCUAGUCCACCGAUUGCACUUCGGAAAGGUAAACGGACCACACUUAAUCCUAAUCCCCAUUAUGUUAUAGUCCGCCUUUUUCUCUCCAUGGCUGCUAUUCUCCAUUGGCCCCUCUAUCAGCUAGACUUAAGAAUGUCUUUUUACACGGUGACCUUGCGGAUGAAGUUUAUAUGGAGCAACCACCUGGGUUUGUUGCCCAGGGGGAGUCUCGUGGUCUUGUAUGUCGUUCAAAUAUUUGGGCUAGAUUACAGUGAUACCUUCUCUCCCGUGGCUAAGGUAGCUUCAGUCCGCCUUUUUCUCUCCAUGGCUGCUAUUCACCAUUGGCACUUCUAUCAACUUGAUAUGAAGAAUGCCUUUUUACACGGUGGCCUUGCGGAUGAAGUUUAUAUGGAGCAACCACCUGGGUUUGUUGCUCAACGGGAGUCUUGUGGUCUUGUAUGUCGCUUGCGCCGGUCACUUUAUGGUCUAAAGCAGUCUCCUCCAGCCUGGUUUAGUAAGUUCAGCACAGUUAUCCAGGAAUUUGGCAUGAUUCGGAGUGAAGUUGAUCACUAUGUGUUCUAUUGGCAUUCUGCUUCGAGUCUCUGUAUUUAUCUGGGGUUUAUGUUGACAACAUUGUUAUUACCGGCAAUGACCAGGAUGAUAUUGCUAAAUUGAAGCAACAUCUCUUUCAACAUUUUCAGACUAAGG
Molecule: long non-coding RNA, 828 nt
Filed under: Nicotiana benthamiana
Lineage: Eukaryota; Viridiplantae; Streptophyta; Magnoliopsida; Solanales; Solanaceae
Description: long non-coding RNA (NBEN_LNC010092)
Source: RNAcentral